RNAcentral lists this long non-coding RNA (757 nucleotides) under Salvia miltiorrhiza (redroot sage). RNAcentral describes it as "long non-coding RNA (SMIL_LNC008147)". Lineage: Eukaryota; Viridiplantae; Streptophyta; Magnoliopsida; Lamiales; Lamiaceae. The record is from RNAcentral.
GCGAGUAAUCGGUCAAGAGUAUCCGAUUUAAGUGUUUAUACAAUAACUUGAUUUGACAAUCCAACAUAAUAGGAUAAUAUGCAUCAUAACUGAGUGUUCGCAGCGGAAAUAGAACGUGAUACAUGUAUGAAGACAUGUAUUGCCAAGAGUUUAUUUAGUAAAUAUGACAAAGCUCCGCACGACACCCCAUCAUCACUCAUCACUGCUCAACCUGCACAUUUAGAAUACAUGCAGGGCUGAGUACAAGUACUCAGUAGACAUAUACCGAAAAUCAUAUACAUACAUAAUAAAUGUAAAUUGUCAUGCCAUUUCAAUAGUAUAACCAAGGGUUUUUACUUAAAAGGCCCUAAGCAUACUAAAUUCAUUUGUGAUUCUAAAGUUCGUCUGAUCAGACUAAGUUCUUUUGUAAUCUAUCAUAUCUGAAUCUGUAUGCCGGAGAGGUGGCCACCUCUCACGGUCACUUGACCGGCCAACCCGCUAGAUGACUCACGGUCACUGGUGUACACUAGCCAAGGCAGGAUAGCUAUCAACUGCUCAAGACCCGAAUUCGAUUACAUGAUAACUGGCAAAGCCAUAUCAGAUAGAUAUCAUACUGAAAUUAAAACAUUUUAUGGCAAGACAAUACUUGAAUUAACUUCAAUUCAAAGAUUUUGUCAUGAAAUAACUUGCUUGAACGUAACAGUUAAAUUCAUUUGAUAUAUAUGAAAGUAAUGCCUACCUGAUUGCAGUGUUUGCUACUUAAGACAAUGAUUCUCUU